Thalassophryne amazonica is the source of this 218-nucleotide long non-coding RNA. RefSeq lists it as uncharacterized. The transcript has 3 exons. The record is from RefSeq and is a predicted model, not a curated record. Lineage: Eukaryota; Metazoa; Chordata; Actinopteri; Batrachoidiformes; Batrachoididae.
AUAAGUCCACUUAAUGUACUCACAGGUAACUUCAGACCUUCUUUGAUCACCCUGGAGCUGAUCGUUGUCUGAGUCUUUGUCAUUCUGUCUAUUUUUUGAUCCAUUUGAAUGGUGGUGUUCAGUUUUCUUCCAGGUCUCUCUGGUUUUGUUACCAUUUUAAUACAUCUGAGAUCAUUUUAGCUGAGCCGCCUGUCAUUUUCUGCACUUCUUUAUAUAUU